Molecule: ribosomal RNA, 274 nt
Filed under: uncultured bacterium
Lineage: Bacteria
Description: partial 16S ribosomal RNA
Rfam family: Bacterial small subunit ribosomal RNA
Source: RNAcentral
AUACGAAGGGGGCUAGCGUUAUUCGGAAUUACUGGGCGUAAAGAGUUCGUAGGCGGACUGGAAAGUUAGAGGUGAAAGCCCAGGGCUCAACCCUGGAACGGCCUUUAAAACUUCCAGUCUAGAGACAGAUAGAGGUAAGGAGAAUACUUAGUGUAGAGGUGAAAUUCGUAGAUAUUAAGUGGAACACCAGUGGCGAAGGCGCCUUACUGGAUCUGUACUGACGCUGAGGAACGAAAGCGUGGGGAGCGAACGGGAUUAGAAACCCUAGUAGUCC